GACGAACGCUGGCGGCGUGCUUAAUACAUGCAAGUCGAACGGAAAGGCCCUGCUUUUGUGGGGUGCUCGAGUGGCGAACGGGUGAGUAACACGUGAGUAACCUGCCCUUGACUUUGGGAUAACUUCAGGGAACUGGGGCUAAUACCGGAUAGGAGCUCCUGCUGCAUGGUGGGGGUUGGAAAGUUUCGGCGGUUGGGGAUGGACUCGCGGCUUAUCAGCUUGUUGGUGGGGUAGUGGCUUACCAAGGCUUUGACGGGUAGCCGGCCUGAGAGGGUGACCGGCCACAUUGGGACUGAGAUACGGCCCAGACUCCUACGGGAGGCAGCAGUGGGGAAUAUUGCACAAUGGGCGGAAGCCUGAUGCAGCAACGCCGCGUGCGGGAUGACGGCCUUCGGGUUGUAAACCGCUUUCGCCUGUGACGAAGCGUGAGUGACGGUAAUGGGUAAAGAAGCACCGGCUAACUACGUG
Molecule: ribosomal RNA, 468 nt
Filed under: uncultured bacterium
Lineage: Bacteria
Description: partial 16S ribosomal RNA
Rfam family: Bacterial small subunit ribosomal RNA
Source: RNAcentral